Molecule: long non-coding RNA, 467 nt
Filed under: Lactuca sativa (garden lettuce)
Lineage: Eukaryota; Viridiplantae; Streptophyta; Magnoliopsida; Asterales; Asteraceae
Description: long non-coding RNA (LSAT_LNC005452)
Source: RNAcentral
AAAUGAAGAAGAAGAGAGGUAGGAAAAGAGGUUGGAAAAAGCACAAUGGAAACACUGGGGCUGCGAUUAAAUCUGAAAAAAGUUCUUCCACGGUUAGAAAACAGGAAGCUAUUAACGGAAAUGAAGAACAAAAUAGGGUUUCUGAACCUGAAGCAGAGGAGAAACAGGGUGUUCAGAUGAAGAAGAAGAGUGGUAGGAAAAGAGGUUGGAAAAAGCACAAUGGGAACACUGGGGCCGCGAUUAAAUCUGAAAAAAGUCCUUCCACAGAUAGAAAACAUGAAGCUAUUAAAGGAAAUGAAGAACAAAAUAGGGUUUCUGAACCUGAAGCAGAGGAGAAACAGGGUGUUCAGAUGAAGAAGAAGAGAGGUAGAAAAAGAGGUUGGAAAAAGCACAAUGGAAACACUGGGGCUACGAUUCAAUCUGAAAAAAGUCCUUCCAGAGAUAGAAAACAUGAAGCUUCCAACUCC